UACGUAGGGGGCAAGCGUUGUCCGGAAUCAUUGGGCGUAAAGCGCGCGUAGGCGGCCCGGUAAGUCCGUUGUAAAAGUCGAAGGCUCAACCUUCGAAAGCCGAUGGAUACUGCCGGGCUAGAGUCCGGAAGAGGCGAGUGGAAUUCCUGGUGUAGCGGUGGAAUGCGCAGAUAUCGGAAGGAACAUCAGUGGCGAAGGCGACUUCCUGGACCAAUACUGACGCUCAGGUGCGAAAGCGUGGGGAGCAAACAGG
Molecule: ribosomal RNA, 253 nt
Filed under: uncultured bacterium
Lineage: Bacteria
Description: partial 16S ribosomal RNA
Rfam family: Bacterial small subunit ribosomal RNA
Source: RNAcentral